This is a long non-coding RNA of Brassica rapa (field mustard), 4035 nucleotides long. RefSeq lists it as uncharacterized. The record is from RefSeq and is a predicted model, not a curated record. NCBI's taxonomy places the organism in Eukaryota, Viridiplantae, Streptophyta, Magnoliopsida, Brassicales, Brassicaceae.
UUUGAUUAGAUCGAGUAUUUUGACUUACCAUGCUUCUAGACACCCAGGGCUACUCUGCUGUUGCUGCUGCUGAUGCUGCUGUGGAUAUUGCGGUGCAUACGGAGGAGGAUAUCCUUGCUGAGGAUAGCCCUGCGGUGGUGGAUAGCCCUGCUGUGGGUAGCCUUGCGGCGGAUAUCCCUGAGGAGGAGGAUAACCUUGCGGCUGAUAAGACUCCUUUGGAUAUCCCUCAGGCGGGAAACCUUGAGGAGUAGGAACACCAACGGGAGGUUGAUUGUACUGACUCAUUGUUAUUUCUGAUCUCCUAUGAAACGUGUAGCUCAAGAGACGACCAAAAGGAGAUGACUCACGGUGCAAAUCCUAGGUCCAGAUACUUAGAGAAGUUAUAGGAGCCAUAGAGACGUGUGGAAAAAGAUAAGGACAAGGAAAAGUCGUUGAGAAUGUUUUAAGUAGGCCUGGACAAAUAAAUUGAAUCCGAAAAUUCAAACCGAAUCCAACUCGAUAAAACCGAAUGAACGGAUCCAAACACGACAUAUAUACCAAAUGGAUCUUUUUCGGUAGUUCGGGUUGGUUUUAGCCAAAUAAAACCUAGACCAAAAUGGAUAUCCGAAAAUCAAAAUCUCAAAAAUAAACUUGUACAAACCCGAUCCCAAUCUUAAUGUGUAUCUAAAAUACACUAAGAUAUUAUUAAGUACCUAAAACAACUAUUUAUUACAUGAAUAAUUAACUCAAAUCAUAAAAAAUAACUCAAAUAUUUAUUUAAAUAUAUCUUUUUGGUCAAUAAUGAUGUUCUAAUCUUACAAUAUUAAAAGGAGAAUAAGCUCAAAGGAGAGCUAUGCCACAUAGGACUAAAAAAUUGACCAAUUAUGAAGCUCUAUUAUGCCAUGUCACUCAUUUUGCAGUCGAAAUAAAAUGUUAACUCUCAUAUGGGCUGAUAAUAAUGAAAAUUGGCCCAUUAUUAAAGAGUCCAGCUCUUCAUCCAAUUUCAAUUUCCAUCACCGUAAUCUCCGACUCUUACAAUUCAUGGGCGACGUUUCCAAUCGCUGCAAUUAACCGUUUAAUUACGACCCAUUCGAUGUCAUUCAAUUACAUUGUUUAAUCCUACCUUCAUGACUCACUCGCUCUCAUUCGGAUUUUUCUCUUCGUCUCCCCAGAGUGCUUUGAGAGAUGAAAUAUAAAUAUCAAAACUCUUCUACUUACAAAAUAAAAAUAAAAGUCGCAUCCAAGAGGAAGAAAUAAAGAAGUUCGAGUUUUAGGUCUUUUAGUUCUUUGAUUCUUCUACUCUUCUGAUUUUAUUAUUUUUUCAUUCUUUGAUUCUUUAUUUCAAUUAGGUUAAACCCUCGUGUCAUUAUGUUUAUUUCUUUGAGAGGCUUUCAGGUGAUUCUAAGACGAGGGAUAUGCUCUUAUAUCUUUGAGAUCCUCUUCACCUGCUCAAAAAUCUCUUCCCCUUCAGGUAUGGAUUUCCUUGGUCGUUUGUUUUCGUAUUUAGCUAUCACUGCUAUCACAAAGAUUGAAAAUAUAUGUUCUCUCUGUGUGUCAUAGAUCAUUUGAUUUGAUGUGUAAUUUGAAAUUGCUCAGACUUUUUUCAGUUUUACACUAUUGCGAGGGAAUCUCAAGACUCAGCAGAUUACCCAAGUGUAAGCUUAAUAAUAAUAUUAAAAAGUUACCCUGUUUGAUGUGUGUUUUGCUUCUCUGAUCCAUCUAUGGUUUUUAUGACGAUAUUUCAGGAAGUACGAGAAUGCACCUGAACCUUUUCGAUUAUCUUCCCCUCAUCAGGCGUAAUUUUCAACUACACCAUUUAUCACCUUCUCCCUUUUUCCUGCCCAGGUCCUUAGUUCGGAUUGAAUUUGAAUAUGAGUUUUUGAUGGGUCUCUCCCUCCUUCCGCUCUCAAGGUUCAAGUGCUAACUUCCAAAUUACUAUUAGGUUGUUUUCUCAAAAAGCAAAAUAAUAACUUAUUGGUUAUCUAUUUGGAGUAUGUCUAGGUGCAACACGAAGGACCAAUUUGUGAUUUAUGGUAUGGUCCCCUUGAUCGAUGUGGGUUAUCUCCACUUGGUGAUGGUUAUUAUUUGGACAGCUCGAUUUCAGUGACAACAAUGGACGCAGUCUCAUAACAUGAGCACAUCAGCUUCUCAUGGAAGGAUUUAACUGGUGGCAUGUCAUGUAUGCUCAUCUCAAUUGCUCAAGGCUCUGCCAAAGGCAUGAUUGGUCAGUCUAUUUUAUCAGGAACUGUGGAUUGAAUCACUGAUCUUUCAAAAAAAUUUAUGGUAACAGGAAAAGAAUGUGGUGACAGUGUUUAGUGCACCAAAUUAUUGCUACCGGUGUGGAAACUAAGCAACGAUUCUAGAGAUAUGAGGAGCAGAUUUAAUCCAGUUUGAUCCAGCUCCUCGACAAGCCGAGAUACCGCUGAUCCUAAAACCUACACAACGGCAACUGAUCAGCAUGGAAAAGAGAAUCAGGCUGGGUUACUAAACACAACCGAGAGCUUUCCUUUAUCUCCAUCUGGUAUAUUGCACCGGCUUUCCAGUAACUUCUACCAAAUGUUUCCUCCCAUUGUGCAGUUGUACUAAAAACUAAGUAUCGAGGUUGUUACCUUUUCCUCGGUCAGAAUCUUUGUAAUCAUGCUUCUCCAAAUUAUUACAGUAAGCUACCGGGUGGAGCUGAUGUGUGUGCCAAAUAAGAUCAACAUCAUAAGUCGGAAUGCAAAACCAUUUCAAAAAAUGUACCACAGAACCGUUCUCAGUUUUUUACAUAUAGAAACAUCGUGGAUUGUUUCUUUAGUCUCACUUAUUUUAAAACAGAACCAAAACUGGAGAAAACAACAAGUGAUCAAAGCUCUGAGCUUUAUUCAAAAUGUCUCAAUAAAUUUACCAUAUUGAACUUAAAUUAGAUUUUUUUCCCGAAAAUAAGAAUUUUUUAUAGAAGAGGAACUUCAGGGUUUGGCUUGGUUAAUCUUCUGGUCUUUUUCUGUGCUGAGAAAACAUAGACCAGACAGCAAAGAAUGAGGACAUAUUGGCUUCUUGGGAUGAUGAUGAUGAUGAUGUGUAGGUCUGCCAUUGCCAUGAGGAGCACGACAAAGAGAUCUAAUAACCACAAUUCUUUAAACUCUGAUUAGUCUUAAAAUUAGGCUAAAUUGUUUUCACUGCGAGAAAAAGAAACCACAAGAAACAGAGCAGAAGAAAAAGGAAGUAUAGUAAUACAGAAGCUAGAUUUUACCCAGGGAAAAAGAUUCAGGUAUUCAUUUCAUGUAUACAAACAAGGUUUUCAUCAAAUACGAGGAAACACAGAAAUGAUUAAUUUAAUUACAUUGGAAGUGCAUAACACAAAGGAAACGCGUCGUUACAUCUAAAUGUAGUUCCCUUUGUUAAAUUGUUUUUAUAUUUCAAUGUAACUUUAUAUUUAUUGGAUAUUGUAUAAAUUAUGUAAAUUACUGUGUAAUUGAUUAAAUUUAUAUAUUAAAUGACAGUUUUCUAAAGUAAUAACUUUUAAAUAUUACAGCUUUUAAUUAAAAUUAAUUACAUUUUGAAACAAGUAGAGUAAUUUAUAAACUAACUCUAUAUAGAUAUGAGGACAAAAUUGUAAAGUGGUAUCACCUUGAAUUUCUCUCAUUCUGUACAUUUUUAAUUAGGAGGAGAUAAUCAACAUCUAAUUUUAUGUUACUCUCAGCAUAUAAGAAAUAGUCGAACCGUAAACCAAUUAAAGAUGAUGUAAGGAAGACAUAAAGAUGUAUUUCCAGUUAUCACAAAUAUAGAAUCAAUUGAUAACAACUUAAUUAUGUCCAACGUAGGAUAACAUAGAAGAAUUUCCAUACCUUCUAAUAUUAUAAUAUCUCACUAUAUUAGUGGCUAAAUCAGUUUCCUCUAGCACAAAUACUCACUCCAUUCUUGGAGUUUAAGUUUUUAUAUCUGAUGAUAUUAGUAGUUUGAUCCAAAAAAAAAAAAAACGGUCGAACUGUACACUAUAAUUGGAGAAAGAAAACAAACAAAAAUCAACCGAAGACUUUUAAGGUAUAUGAAACAAAAAUUGGAAAUAUCAAUUCU